GCCGGGGUGGCUGAGUGGACUAAAGCGCGGGCCUUGAGAGCCCGUGGGCCCUUGGGGCCCGCAUGGGUUCAAAUCCCAUCCCCGGCG
Molecule: transfer RNA, 87 nt
Filed under: Candidatus Bathyarchaeota archaeon
Lineage: Archaea; Thermoproteati; Candidatus Bathyarchaeota
Description: tRNA-Ser
Rfam family: tRNA
About the family: Transfer RNA (tRNA) molecules are approximately 80 nucleotides in length. Their secondary structure includes four short double-helical elements and three loops (D, anti-codon, and T loops). Further hydrogen bonds mediate the characteristic L-shaped molecular structure. tRNAs have two regions of fundamental functional importance: the anti-codon, which is responsible for specific mRNA codon recognition, and the 3' end, to which the tRNAs corresponding amino acid is attached (by aminoacyl-tRNA synthetases). tRNAs cope with the degeneracy of the genetic code in two manners: having more than one tRNA (with a specific anti-codon) for a particular amino acid; and 'wobble' base-pairing, i.e. permitting non-standard base-pairing at the 3rd anti-codon position.
Source: RNAcentral